RNAcentral lists this ribosomal RNA (492 nucleotides) under uncultured bacterium. RNAcentral's name for it is "partial 16S ribosomal RNA". It matches the Rfam family "Bacterial small subunit ribosomal RNA", at positions 29 to 507 of the family's 1533-position model. The record is from RNAcentral.
AGUGAACGCUGGCGGUAGGCCUAACACAUGCAAGUCGAACGGCAGCACAGUAAGAGCUUGCUCUUACGGGUGGCGAGUGGCGGACGGGUGAGGAAUACAUCGGAAUCUACUUUUUCGUGGGGGAUAACGUAGGUAAACUUACGCUAAUACCGCAUACGACCUACGGUUGAAAGCAGGGGAUCUUCGGACCUUGCGCGAUUGAAUGAGCCGAUGUCGGAUUAGCUAGUUGGCGGGGUAAAGGCCCACCCAGGCGACGAUCCGUAGCUGGUCUGAGAGGAUGAUCAGCCACACUGGAACUGAGACACGGUCCAGACUCCUACGGGAGGCAGCAGUGGGGAAUAUUGGACAAUGGGCGCAAGCCUGAUCCAGCCAUACCGCGUGGGUGAAGAAGGCCUUCGGGUUGUAAAGCCCUUUUGUUGGGAAAGAAAAGCAGCAGGUUAAUACCCCGCUGUUCUGACGGUACCCAAAGAAUAAGCACCGGCUAACUUCGUG